RNAcentral lists this ribosomal RNA (564 nucleotides) under Gnomoniopsis smithogilvyi. Its description in RNAcentral is "LSU rRNA". It matches the Rfam family "Eukaryotic large subunit ribosomal RNA", at positions 104 to 693 of the family's 3401-position model. Lineage: Eukaryota; Fungi; Ascomycota; Sordariomycetes; Diaporthales; Gnomoniaceae. The record is from RNAcentral.
CAGCUCAAAUUUGAAAUCUGGCUUCGGCCCGAGUUGUAAUUUGCAGAGGAUGUUUAUGGUGCGGUACCUUCCGAGUUCCCUGGAACGGGACGCCACAGAGGGUGAGAGCCCCGUCUGGUUGGAUACCAAACCUGUGUUAAACUCCUUCAACGAGUCGAGUAGUUUGGGAAUGCUGCUCUAAAUGGGAGGUAAAUCUCUUCUAAAGCUAAAUACCGGCCAGAGACCGAUAGCGCACAAGUAGAGUGAUCGAAAGAUGAAAAGCACCUUGAAAAGGGGGUUAAACAGUACGUGAAAUUGUUAAAAGGGAAGCGUUUAUGACCAGACUUGUGUCGUGUGGCUCAUCCGAGGUUCUCCCCGGUGCACUCCACACGGCUCAGGCCAACAUCGGUUCUCGUUGGGGGAUAAGAACAGUAGGAACGUGGCCCUCUUCGGAGGGUGUUAUAGCCUGCUGUACGAUACCCUGAUGGGGACCGAGGACCGCGCUUCGGCUAGGAUGUUGGCGUAAUGGUCAUUAGCGACCCGUCUUGAAACACGGACCAAGGAGUCGUCCAUUAGAGCGAGUGU